CCCUACGGGGGGCAGCAGUGAGGAAUAUUGGUCAAUGGUCGGGAGACUGAACCAGCCAAGCCGCGUGAGGGAUGAAGGUACAGAGCAUCGUAAACCUCUUUUGUCAGGGAACAAAGGCGGGGACGUGUCCCCGGAUGAGUGUACCUGAAGAAAAAGCAUCGGCUAACUCCGUGCCAGCAGCCGCGGUAAUACGGAGGAUGCGAGCGUUAUCCGGAUUUAUUGGGUUUAAAGGGUGCGCAGGCGGUCUGUUAAGUCAGCGGUCAAAGCCCGGGGCUCAACCCCGGCCCGCCGUUGAACCUGGCAGU
RNAcentral lists this ribosomal RNA (305 nucleotides) under uncultured bacterium. RNAcentral describes it as "bacterial SSU rRNA". It matches the Rfam family "Bacterial small subunit ribosomal RNA", at positions 337 to 640 of the family's 1533-position model. The record is from RNAcentral.